RNAcentral lists this long non-coding RNA (606 nucleotides) under Equus caballus (horse). Its description in RNAcentral is "lncRNA (ENSECAG00000029758.3)". The record is from RNAcentral. Lineage: Eukaryota; Metazoa; Chordata; Mammalia; Perissodactyla; Equidae.
AACCUGGCAUGCAGAGAUCUGUGGCCCCCUAAGGGCAUGUUAAUGUCAACUCAGUGUUAAUGUGCAGAGUCCCCAAAAGGCCAAGUGGGAGAUGAACAAGGUGAACAAAAACUGUUUGAGGAGAGGAAAGAAUUUGGAGAGACUAUCACUUAAGAACCGCAUCUGAUAACAGCACUGAGAAGACUAUUCCAACAACAAAUGAGAAAAUUCAGAAACCUGAAAAAGAUGAAAAAGAUGUGCAGCAUAGAAGCCCAUAUAUUUCUCCAGGCAUAACCACAUGUGUGACAACACUCUCCAGAAGCAGAAGUGAAUUCCUCUUACAAUACAUCCAAGGAGCGUUGACUGAGGGAGAUUUCACUUUCUGUGGACCGCAGCCAUCUCUUCAGUUUCUCCCUGUUACUGAAAUCUCAUUGUUACACUCAGAAUCUGUCUUCUCCCGGGGCUUACUUUCAAAGCAUUUCACUGCCUGUGACAAGACAGACUGGAGACGAUGCUGGGAGGCUGGGGAAGGUGGCAUGCUGAAGAAAAAUGCAAGCGCCGCAGGAAGACUUCACUUCCAACUACCACUGCAGGGCCAUAGGACUGAUUCUGGACAAUGGAACGAGG